Molecule: long non-coding RNA, 653 nt
Filed under: Numida meleagris (helmeted guineafowl)
Lineage: Eukaryota; Metazoa; Chordata; Aves; Galliformes; Numididae
Description: lncRNA (ENSNMEG00000001576.1)
Source: RNAcentral
UAUGGGUCACAUUGUGUGUGGGGCACAUCUCUGGGGCACAUCUCUGGGGCACAUGUGUGGGGCACAUGUGUGGGGCACAUCUAUGGGGCACAUCAUCUGUGGGGCACAUGUGUGGGGCACAUCUAUGGGGCACAUGUGUGGGGCACAUCAUCUCUGGGGCACAUCUCUGGGGCACAUGUGUGGGGCACAUCUAUGGGGCACAUCUAUGGGGCACAUCAUCUAUGGGGCACAUGUGUGGGGCACAUGUGUGGGGCACAUGUGUGGGGCACAUCUCUGGGGCACAUGUGUGGGGCACAUCUAUGGGGCACAUGUGUGGGGCACAGGUGUGGGGCACAUCUAUGGGGCACGUGUGGGGCACAUCAUCUCUGGGGCACAUGUGUGGGGCACAUGUGUGGGGUGUAUCUAUGGGGCACAUCACAUCAUCUGUGGGGCACAUCAUCUAUGGGGCACAUCUAUGGGGCACAUUGUGUGUGGGGCACAUCUAUGGGGCACAUCAUCUGUGGGGCACAUCUAUGGGAAACAUCUAUGGGGCACAUAUGUGUGGGGCACAUGUGUGGGGCACAUGUGUGGGGUACAUCUAUGGGUCACAUUGUGUGUGGGGCACAUCUCUGGGGCACAUCUCUGGGGCACAUGUGUGGGGCACAUGUGUGGGG